Monomorium pharaonis (pharaoh ant) is the source of this 4145-nucleotide RNA transcript. RefSeq lists it as uncharacterized. The transcript has 3 exons. The record is from RefSeq and is a predicted model, not a curated record. NCBI's taxonomy places the organism in Eukaryota, Metazoa, Arthropoda, Insecta, Hymenoptera, Formicidae.
UCCGCCGGACCAACCACUUUUUUUUGUGUGCUUGUGUUAUUUGCAGAUUUCAUACGUUAUUAUUUCGCAAGAUUAAUAUCUGAGCAGAUUAAUAUCUCGAUUAUUGGUGGACCUUGCAGCCGCCAGAGACACCCGUCGCUGCACCGUUCCGUGACCUAUCCGUGGCGUUAGAGAGGAUGCAGCCGAGGCCGACGAGUGACCGAGGAGGCACCAAUAUCGGGGCCGAGACCGAGAUGAUGCCAUCGCCGAGACCACCGAGAGCGGAGGCGGGCGAGCCGACGCCGACCCCGAGGCCGAUAGCAGAUGCGCCGAGCACGCAGGUAGCCGACGCGGAUGAAUCAUCCGUGCGAGCCGACAACCACCUGAAGGCCACCCGAGAGGGAAACAAUAGCGACGACGAAGACGGCAUUCCGACCGCGUCGUAAUUCGUUGAACUUUGAUAAUAAAGACAGUGCGAAUAGCGUUACAGAUACCGCGCGUAUAAAGUAUUAUAUAAUAAUUAAAUUUGUUAAAAAUUUAUUUGUUUUUUUAAAAUAAAUUUAGUUUAACUCGUUUAGGCGACCGCGCAAGACUCAACGAGCCGUGCGAGUGUGUGAGUGCACGCGUGAGACCGCGUGUAAAUUUAAGAAAGCAAGCGUGCGAUGAAAAGAAAAUAAUGUAACGUGCGCAAUCGCGAAAAUAUAUUAUAUAUUAAUCUAUUUUAUAGUAUUACACAUAUUAAUGUUGUAUUCCUUUUGUUACGAGCGAUAUUAAAAGCUUGUUAUUGUUUUAUUAAAUGAUAUGUGUUCGAGACUAUAACAGUUCCUUUAGAGUUUUAACAUUUCCUUUUUUUUUGCUCUGUUUUAUCCGCGAGUAGUGGGAAGCUGCUGACAGCCAUCGAGCUCCUUGUAGUUCAUUUCUUCGAUGCACCUAGUCGCGCGGCGCUGUCACCAGCUCCUCACGCGCGCGAUUUUCGUUUUUUCGCAUCGUGGUAACUAGGCAAAUAAACAUGCCCAAAAAAGGGCACGUCCAAAUCCAUGCCCAAAUAAGUCUCGAGAUCCGUUCCCUUACCGCCCCCUUUUUCGCCUCCGAUCGUAAUUGUUUUACGAUGCAAAAUUCGCCAGUCUCUCGCAGCCCGGCACUGACAUAAGAUCUCCCGCGUCAUCCGCCGAUCCUAGCUGCGGGGAUUCACUUCCAUUCCAUCCAUAAUUCGGCGAUCAUGUCAAUUAAUUUUUAAGUUCGAGUAUUCGUGUGAAUGUGUGAGUGCGUUACGUUUAUGCGCGGGUGACCGUAUCUUUCCCGCGAACGUCUCUGCCUCGUGCACAAGAUCUCCGUCGGAUCGCGCGCAAGAUUUCCGGAUUCGCGAGAGCUUCGAUCUAGAGGCUCUUCAAGAUUUCCGCGUCAGGCAGCGUAAUAUCGGGACGUGUCAAGAUUUCCGUAAGCUUGUAAAAGAUACGGUUCGCCCCUCGCUCCGAACGUCCGUUUGUUAAUAAAUCAUUAACGUGUGAGUGACACCAUCGCCUCCUUUUUCUCCCUAUCACCCCCCGUGAACCUACCGCAUUCCUCAUCACUCGCUUCGCGUCUCUAUCGGGACGGAUCCCGGCAUUCUCCCCGUGCGAUCGCGUUUACCCUACGCACGCACAAACAAUAUGUAUAAAAAGACCCGAUCGCUAUCCAACUUACAGAAAGUGCGACAGAAACGACGCGUCGAGAUAGACAUCGUUGCGGAGGGCCCCUGGCGUACAGGCAACUUGGCCGACACGAAAGUGACAGAUCGAGGUUAGGGCGCCCAUGAUCGAGAAUCGGGCGUAGCGUCAUGUACCAUAGGCACAUAGCUGAGCAGAUAAUCAUCGAAAUCCCAAGCUCAGUUACGCUGCAUUUCCGAAUACAGUGGCUAAAUAUUAUGUACUACGUGUUAAUUACAAUCACGGUCUCAGAGCGACCGAACGGAAUAGCGGUGAUUGUUUGGGAGGUGUAUGAUAUUACCGUAAGCUAUACGGAAUAAUUUUCAGUUUAUUUGAUUGAAUUUAUAUUCAUUUAAUUAUUCUCAGUCAGGGUGCAGUCCCAUGAAGCGGAUUAUGCGGAAGCGGAACGAGCGGAUCACCAAUCGCGGGUUCAUUCUGAUAGAACUCUUUUAAAGAUUCCGUCGAAACGGUCCUGUGAUUGGUGAUCCGCUCGUUCCGCUUCCGCAUAAUCCGCUCCAUGGGACCGCACCCUCAGUUUCAUAUAGUUUUAAGCUGACAUGCAAAGGCUCAGGUUUAUUGGCCAAUCAAAAGCCUCGUUUUUAUAAACGAGUCAUAAAGUUCUAAUUUUAGAUAAAAUGUUUAAUGCAGUAAUUGUUUAUUAUUCUGAACGCUGAAAAUGACAGCGCACAAGUUCGCGACAGUCUAAGUCACGAAAAUAAAGCCGCGAACAAAUAACCUGAGGCUUUAGCUUUGCAUUCAAACGUACCAUAAGGUGCGGAACGCCAUGGCAAGGAUCUGCGCAUGCGACCCCAUGGCGUGCGAGCGAGAGGGACGAUCUGAGUGAAAGAGACCUCUUGAUGCUCGCCGAUUGGCGAAAGAACAAUGCCUGACAACAACGAGCCAAUCGAGGAGCAUCAAGGUGGGGAGUGAAUGAGAAACGAGCGGCUUGGCGUCCCCUGACUAAGAAAGUCUGCCUUUGGACUCAGGAUAGGACCGACGUGCGUCUUCCGAGUUCCCGCGUAAUUAAUACUACGCACAUUGUGUGAUAACAGUAACGGGCGCGUAAUAAUUAUUGUUUCGCGACAUCACCCGUGAGUUAUCGCCUAGGGCAGUUUUUUCCGUGUAAUUAUCGCGACGCGUUAAAUAAUAGCGAGAGUCCGUAAUCACGUUGUGCGAGAGGCGUGACCGGAAGUUAUAUACGCAGAUAUUACGCAAUAAGACGCAGCCGAUGUAUUCGUGUGCGUGCGUGAGAUAAUGUGUUGUUAAAUAAAGCAGAGUAUGGUGAAAAUUAGAAGUGAGUCAUAUUAUUUAUUGUACGAUUCUAUAAUCCAUCCCGGACGAGUCCACUGUUUGGCGGGAAAUUGCGUCAUCCCACAACACAUAGACAGGACGUCUUCCUGAGGAUAGGACAGCUACAGAGGGGUUCCAGGACAGCUCAGGAACAUAGCCGAGCGAGGGACUUUCCAUUAUUAAGCGAGAUUCAUACGAGAUCCCGGUGCGGCCAUCCCAAGAGCGAGACCGUGUCCACACCUUGGCGGCGAGUCUACAACAGUAACAGAGAAUGAUACGGAUGUCAAUGUGGAUGUUGAUAUGGAUGUCGAUCCUGCUGCAACUGGAAUAGACAACUGUGAAAUUUCUCCGAAUAAUUGCUUAACUUCUUUGAAAGAUACUCACUACUUGCAAAGCAGCAAGAAGAAACGCCUAGAUUUUUAUUCUCCUGAAGACACUCCUGUUUCUAAACAUGAUAUUGAUGCAACAAUCCUUAUUCAUGAAUUACCAGUCACUGUCUCUACACCAGUCAUUUGUGAAUCUCCUUCACUGAUGAUACUAGAACCACGUUAUGUUGGUGAUAUCCGGCCACCUCAUCUAGCAACACCAAGACGAGCUAAAAGAUCCGUAAAUUUAGCACGACGUGUCAUUAUGCAGCAACGACAGAAAAUUGAAACGUUGCAGAAAAAAUGCUGUAGAUACAAGGAACGUAUUACUUCAUUAAAAGAUGUAGUCUCUGAUAAAAAAAAACUACAUUUCUGAAAAUGCUGCUGACAAUUUAAUGGUACGUUUGAGUGACAUUAAUCGAUUGAUGAAGACUCCGGAUAAAGCUAAUGUUAUCGAUGAAGACUCCGAAUAAAGCCAAUGCCUUUAUGGUUGAAUGCUUUGAUUAUAAAGCUGUAUGCACAAUGCUAGGCAACAGACAAUAGAAAUAAGAAACAGAAAUCAGAAAUUAUCAAAGCAAAAUGGACGGUACAUAGACAACAAUUAUAGAAUUUCUGUCACACAUUAAAAAUUUUGUGCCUAUUGCCUGUUGCAAAAUAAUUAUAGCAUUCGAAUUUUUUAAAGUUAUAUUAAUGAAUUUUAGGUUAUUUCCUGUUCUUAUUGCCUGUUACCCAACAUUCUGCAUAUAACUUACAGUUGGAUAAGUUUAAAUUUACCUCGGUUACAGUUGUACAUAAGUAUAUUUUCUAGGAGUGAGUCCCCGAUGCG